GAGUUGCUCAUACAAUUCGGCGAGUCUCAGCAUAGAGUGUCCUUCGGAUGAAGAUGAGCUCGGCGAGUUGUUCAUACAACUCGGCGAGUAGGAUGAAGGACUAUUAGUCUUUGGUUUAGAUGGAAAACUCGUCAAGUCAAUGCCUAACUCGACAAGUAGAGACGGGUUAGGGUCAGACAUAGGGAUAGGGACUCGGCGACUUGGCAAGCCAACUCGGCGAGUCGGGUCAACUGGCAGUUGACUUUGACUUUGACUCUUGGUUUGGUUAGGGGUAAAUGGUCAUUUUACCCUGAGGUCGGUUAGCAGUAUUUGACUAAGUGUUUUGUGGGAAUUAUUAGCCGGAGGAUUUCCGGAGCAGCAGCAGCAGAAGACAGUCAGUUCCCACACAGAUCAGCAGCUACAUUGAGGUGAGUUACCUUCCACUAGUGGUGGAAGAAAUGAUGGAGCAUUACCCCGAGUUGUUUCAGGAUCGAGCAGCAGACUUCGAGGACGAAUUCUAAAAUAUGUGGGGGAGAUUUGUAGCACCUGGUUCCUGGUACGUAAAAUUUAUCUAAGUAUUUUACGUUUUUAGCCUUGGACUCGGCGAGUUGUAGGCCCGACUCGCCGAGUAGAGACGGGUUUGGGGGCACGUUUAAGUUGGCGACUCGGCGACUCCACAUUCUGGACUCGGCGAGUCCCCGCUAUCUGAUGAAACCCUAAAUUCCAAGGGUUUGCACCCUAUUUAAACCAACCUUAUGCGCCCCAACCUCGCCCCCUUCACCCUCAGAUCUCCCAACAUCGUUCAAACCCUUAUUCCUUGUGAGAUUGAAGUGCUUUGGUGUGUUUCUUGAAGAUUUUGAGAAGAAAGAAGAGUAGAUCAAGAAGAGAAGAAUGAGGCCAGGCAUCCUUGUGCUAUCUCAGUGAUUUCCUUGAGGUAUAACUCGGUUUCCCUCUGUUUUCAUGCUUAUAGUCCCUUAUAGCUCCAUAAAAGUCCUUCUUGAGCCUUUCCCCAAGCUUGAUUGUGUAUUAGGGUUUGUAAUAAGUUGUUUAGCCUCUAGAUCUAGGCAUGAUUGAGCUCCAGGAGCUUGGAUCUACUGCCUUUAUGGAGCCAUAUUGCAUGAAAGCCCUAGAUAUACCCUUUUAGUGCAUUUUGAGCCCUAAAACCUUCUUUGGUGAUUAUUUACACGUAAAGUUGGAAACUUUAUGUGUUAUUCAUGCCCUAGAAACCCAGAUUUAUGAAUGGCAUGAGCUGGAUUCAAGCAAAAUCGAGUAUAUAGUAUUUACAUGUGACAGACUCGACGAGUCGAGUCACGAGUCCCCGAGUUUCCCCCUUUUCGCGUUUGCGGGGUGGAGUAGUGAGUCAUGGGGUGUGACUCAGUGGGCCGGAAUCCAGACUCACUCAUGAAGGAACUCGACGAGUUCAAGGCAAUCCUCUUGCCUCAAGAACAGACUCGGCGAGUCUCAGCAUAGAAUGUUCUUCGGAUGAAGAUCAGACUCGACGAGUCGAGUCACGAGUCCCCGAGUUUCCCCCUUUUCGCGUUUGCGGGGUGGAGUAGUGAGUCAUGGGGUGUGACUCAGUGGGCCGGAAUCCAGACUCACUCAUGAAGGAACUCGACGAGUUCAAGGCAAUCCUCUUGCCUCAAGAACAGACUCGGCGAGUCUCAGCAUAGAAUGUUCUUCGGAUGAAGAUGAACUCGGCGGGUUGUUCAUACAACCCGGCGAGUAGGAUGAAGGACUAUUGGUCUUUGGUUUAGAAGGAAAACUUGUCGAGUCAUUGCCUAACUCGACGAGUAGAGAUGGGUUAUGGUCAGACAUAAGGAUAGGGACUCGGCGAGUCGGGUCAACUGGCAGUUGACUUUGACUUUGACUCUUGGUUUGGUUAGGGGUAAAUGGUCAUUUUACCCUGAGGUCGGUUAGCAGUAUUUGACUAAGUGUUUUGUG
RNAcentral lists this long non-coding RNA (1920 nucleotides) under Lactuca sativa (garden lettuce). RNAcentral's name for it is "long non-coding RNA (LSAT_LNC004750)". Lineage: Eukaryota; Viridiplantae; Streptophyta; Magnoliopsida; Asterales; Asteraceae. The record is from RNAcentral.